GCGUCCCCUGCUCCCAGUCUCUCAAAGAUAUUUUUGUCUUGGAUUUCAUUUCUGCUUCACCCGCCGGCAACAAUUAUCAGAUGUACCAAUUUUAUGAUGAUUGACCAUUAUAUGCAAGGAAAAGAACUGAAACUAGUGAAACAUGCACUGAAAAGAACAGACUGGAACCUAAGAUGACCCUGGGAUAUAAAAUACCCUGCGAGAGGAAUUAAAGUGGGCAGAAACAACAGGAAAGAGGAAUACGGGACUUGAAAGAAAGCAAGAAGUCUGACCAUCAUAAAUUUCAGCAGCAUCACAAGCCCACUCCUCAAGAUAACAGAACCCAUCAGCCAAUAAUAAUAACUAACUUGAAACCCUUAAUUUAAAUGUGGACACAGCCGAUAAUAACCAACUUGCAAUCAUUAAUUUGAAUAUUUAUUAACCAAUCCCAAUGUGCCAAUAGUCCUAAUAUCCCUAACCCCUUUGUUUAAUCCAAUAAAUAUCCCUCAACUUUUCAGCUCGGGAAGACAGAUCUGAGAAAAAUACUAUCCUCUUGUCUUCUUGAGGCUAGCCUUUGCUAAAUAAACUUUUUCCCUUCUCAAAAAUCUCCAUCUCUACUGAUUGGACCUGUGCUCAUCAGGCAAGGACUCACUUUCAAGCCACAACAAAAUUAAUUUUCCCUGAUGCAAGAAGAGGAGAUUCCUCUACCUCCUCCUAUUUUCUAAAAGCUUUUUCUUCAGAAAACUUGAAAUUGUAAACUCUUUCUCUGCCUCUUUGAGAUGUACAUAAAUCUUUCUAAAAGUUAAAUAAGCCUUUGCCAGCUUUAACAACCCAGAAAUGUCUUUCUCAAGGACCUGAGAGCCAUCUCUCUGAGAUGUAAACAUCAAAGAAGAUAGCAGUCUUAACUCCCCAUCUCCAGGGAAGUUUAAUUUAGGUAACUGGCUUCAAAUUGUAACUAUCUACUUAUCAUAGAGAUAUGAGAAGUUUUAUUAUUUCUUUGGAUAAAGGCAGUUAGCAAACACAAAGGCCACGUUAAUUACCUGCUGGGUUUAAGAUGAACUAUUUGUGACAAAUGGUACUGUCAAGUCCUCUUACUUGAGGACUAGUUACGUAUCUUGAGAACAUAUAUGUAAUGGGUUGUAUCUGCAUGACUAUAUAAAAGGGUGAGUUUCUUUCUUUCUUUGCAAUCUCUAGCAGAUUGCCUGUGAUGCGCAUCACAUUCUGGUUUAAUGCUUAUUCAGUAAUAAAACCGUUUUCUUUCUCUUC
Molecule: long non-coding RNA, 1245 nt
Organism: Choloepus didactylus (southern two-toed sloth)
Lineage: Eukaryota; Metazoa; Chordata; Mammalia; Pilosa; Megalonychidae
Exons: 2
Source: RefSeq, a predicted model, not a curated record